AAAGUAUAUAGAAAUGUGAGUUGAAAUGCCAUGCAUGAAUUAAUAUAUGAUGCAUAUGUAUGAAUUGGUGCGGUGGACGCACAUGUAAGAAUUGAUUUAUGAUGCAUAUGUAUGAAUUGGUGCGGUGGACGCACAGGUAAGAAUUGAUUUAUGAUGCAUAUGUAUGAAUUGGUGCGGUGGACGCACAGGUAAGAAUUGAUUUUAUGAUGCAUAUGUAUGAAAUGGUGCGGUGGACGCACAGAUGAGUAUUUAAUUACUGUUAUGAUGAUGAUGAUAUAUAUUGAGCUCAAAUCCUGCACCAUGGUUUAGUGCUUAUAGUAUUCACCGCAUCGCACGCUCGCCUUGGAUCCAAGUAGAUGCUAGUCGUACAGUCCACGCGGAGUGGGUACGACAGACCAGUCGCGAGAGUGUUAGUGAGAUUCCGACUGGUGGGUGACCUUAGAUUAUGUGCACAG
RNAcentral lists this long non-coding RNA (455 nucleotides) under Malus domestica (apple). RNAcentral describes it as "long non-coding RNA (MDOM_LNC008796)". The record is from RNAcentral. Lineage: Eukaryota; Viridiplantae; Streptophyta; Magnoliopsida; Rosales; Rosaceae.